Molecule: ribosomal RNA, 272 nt
Filed under: Salmonella enterica subsp. enterica serovar Muenchen
Lineage: Bacteria; Pseudomonadati; Pseudomonadota; Gammaproteobacteria; Enterobacterales; Enterobacteriaceae
Also listed under: 1 other name
Description: partial 23S ribosomal RNA
Rfam family: Bacterial large subunit ribosomal RNA
Source: RNAcentral
GUGAAAUUGAACUCGCUGUGAAGAUGCAGUGUACCCGCGGCAAGACGGAAAGACCCCGUGAACCUUUACUAUAGCUUGACACUGAACAUUGAGCCUUGAUGUGUAGGAUAGGUGGGAGGCUUUGAAGUGUGGACGCCAGUCUGCAUGGAGCCGACCUUGAAAUACCACCCUUUAAUGUUUGAUGUUCUAACGUGGACCCGUUACCCGGGUUGCGGACAGUGUCUGGUGGGUAGUUUGACUGGGGCGGUCUCCUCCUAAAGAGUAACGGAGGA